This 1528-nucleotide ribosomal RNA is filed under the name Pectobacterium carotovorum. Its description in RNAcentral is "bacterial SSU rRNA". It matches the Rfam family "Bacterial small subunit ribosomal RNA". The record is from RNAcentral. Lineage: Bacteria; Pseudomonadati; Pseudomonadota; Gammaproteobacteria; Enterobacterales; Pectobacteriaceae.
AGAGUUUGAUCCUGGCUCAGUGACGCUGGCGGCAGGCCUAACACAUGCAGUCGAGCGGUAGCACAGAGGAGCUUGCUCCUUGGGUGACGAGCGGCGGACGGGUGAGUAAUGUCUGGGAAACUGCCUGAUGGAGGGGGAUAACUACUGGAAACGGUAGCUAAUACCGCAUAACCUCUUCGGAGCAAAGAGGGGGACCUUCGGGCCUCUCGCCAUCAGAUGUGCCCAGAUGGGAUUAGCUAGUAGGUGAGGUAAUGGCUCACCUAGGCGACGAUCCCUAGCUGGUCUGAGAGGAUGACCAGCCACACUGGAACUGAGACACGGUCCAGACUCCUACGGGAGGCAGCAGUGGGGAAUAUUGCACAAUGGGCGCAAGCCUGAUGCAGCCAUGCCGCGUGUGUGAAGAAGGCCUUCGGGUUGUAAAGCACUUUCAGCGAGGAGGAAGGCGGUAAGGUUAAUAACCUUAUCGAUUGACGUUACUCGCAGAAGAAGCACCGGCUAACUCCGUGCCAGCAGCCGCGGUAAUACGGAGGGUGCAAGCGUUAAUCGGAAUGACUGGGCGUAAAGCGCACGCAGGCGGUCUGUUAAGUUGGAUGUGAAAUCCCCGGGCUUAACCUGGGAACUGCAUUCAAAACUGACAGGCUAGAGUCUUGUAGAGGGGGGUAGAAUUCCAGGUGUAGCGGUGAAAUGCGUAGAGAUCUGGAGGAAUACCGGUGGCGAAGGCGGCCCCCUGGACAAAGACUGACGCUCAGGUGCGAAAGCGUGGGGAGCAAACAGGAUUAGAUACCCUGGUAGUCCACGCUGUAAACGAUGUCGAUUUGGAGGUUGUGCCCUUGAGGCGUGGCUUCCGGAGCUAACGCGUUAAAUCGACCGCCUGGGGAGUACGGCCGCAAGGUUAAAACUCAAAUGAAUUGACGGGGGCCCGCACAAGCGGUGGAGCAUGUGGUUUAAUUCGAUGCAACGCGAAGAACCUUACCUACUCUUGACAUCCACAGAAUUUGGUAGAGAUACCUUAGUGCCUUCGGGAACUGUGAGACAGGUGCUGCAUGGCUGUCGUCAGCUCGUGUUGUGAAAUGUUGGGUUAAGUCCCGCAACGAGCGCAACCCUUAUCCUUUGUUGCCAGCGAUUCGGUCGGGAACUCAAAGGAGACUGCCGGUGAUAAACCGGAGGAAGGUGGGGAUGACGUCAAGUCAUCAUGGCCCUUACGAGUAGGGCUACACACGUGCUACAAUGGCGUAUACAAAGAGAAGCGACCUCGCGAGAGCAAGCGGACCUCAUAAAGUACGUCGUAGUCCGGAUUGGAGUCUGCAACUCGACUCCAUGAAGUCGGAAUCGCUAGUAAUCGUAGAUCAGAAUGCUACGGUGAAUACGUUCCCGGGCCUUGUACACACCGCCCGUCACACCAUGGGAGUGGGUUGCAAAAGAAGUAGGUAGCUUAACCUUCGGGAGGGCGCUUACCACUUUGUGAUUCUAGACUGGGGUGAAGUCGUAACAAGGUAACCGUAGGAACCUGCGGCUGGAUCACCUCCUU